UACGUAGGUGGCAAGCGUUGUCCGGAUUUACUGGGCGUAAAGAGCGCGCAGGCGGUCGUUCAAGUCGCGUGUGAAAGCCCCCGGCUCAACUGGGGAGGGUCACGCGAUACUGAUCGACUCGAAGGCAGGAGAGGGUAGUGGAAUUCCCGGUGUAGUGGUGAAAUGCGUAGAUAUCAGGAGGAACACCGGUGGCGAAGGCGGGUCUCUGGGCCGAAACUGACGCUGAGGAGCGAAAGCGUGGGGAGCAAACAGG
This 253-nucleotide ribosomal RNA is filed under the name uncultured bacterium. RNAcentral's name for it is "partial 16S ribosomal RNA". It matches the Rfam family "Bacterial small subunit ribosomal RNA", at positions 524 to 776 of the family's 1533-position model. The record is from RNAcentral.